This 682-nucleotide long non-coding RNA is filed under the name Homo sapiens (human). RNAcentral describes it as "HSALNT0204654". The record is from RNAcentral. Lineage: Eukaryota; Metazoa; Chordata; Mammalia; Primates; Hominidae.
AUAAGACAAAGUGAACACAGAGUAGCUACCUGUGAAGAUAUUCAACCUUUUAUCUGUACCUAUCUGCUUAGGAACCAAAAGAAAGGCAGCUUCUUGCAUGACUCAGUUUCAGCUUAAUUUUUCCUUUUGGCAUCUUGAAUUGGGGUCCCACAUUUCUAUUUUCCUUUUACAUUUCACCUCCCUCUUCUUUUUGAAAUCUUCGAGAGAAAGCAUUUUAGAAGAAAAUUAGUCUCUGGUCUUGGGUUUUGUCUAAUCUCUCAUGUAUAGGACAGUUUUUUCCUAGACAAACAGGUCCUACAUGGUUGGGAAGGCUCGUUUUUAGCAGAUUGUAAAGUUUCACAUCUUACAAAGAAAAAAUAGAGGGAGAAAGAGAGAAAGAAACAGAAGAGAAAAAGAAGAAAACAACAAACAACAAAAAAGGAAGAAAAUCCUGGAAAACUGAUAUAAGCCGUUUUACUCUGAAGUCCAUACAUCAAUAGAAAUCUAAGAUUACACAUUUUAAAAAGCCUCAAGCGCAGCUAAGGAUUUAUCUGUGCCUACAGAUACCUGUAUGAAUUGAAUGUAUUCUUCCCUUUUCAAGGUCCCAAGAAAAUUUGAAAUCCCUGGUCCUAUCAGAGAGUGACAUUCUUUACUUAUGACAGGUCAGGACCUUGUAAAGGACAAGAUAUGGGGCCAAUAUUUC